UACGGAGGUUGCAAGCGUUGUUCGGAAUUACUGGGCGUAAAGGGAGUGCAGGCGGCUUGAUCAGUCUGAUAGUGAAAGUCCGGGGCUCAACCCCGGAAUUGCUUUGGAUACUGUCAAGCUUGAGUAUGUGAGAGGUGAGCGGAAUUCCAGGUGUAGCGGUGAAAUGCGUAGAUAUCUGGAGGAACAUCGGUGGCGAAAGCGGCUCACUGGCACAUUACUGACGCUGAGACUCGAAAGCGUGGGGAGCGAACGGG
This 254-nucleotide ribosomal RNA is filed under the name uncultured bacterium. RNAcentral describes it as "partial 16S ribosomal RNA". It matches the Rfam family "Bacterial small subunit ribosomal RNA", at positions 524 to 776 of the family's 1533-position model. The record is from RNAcentral.